ACUCCGAAUACCAGUAAGUAAUAUCCGGGAGACACACGGCGGGUGCUAACGUCCGUCGUGAAGAGGGAAACAACCCAGACCGCCGGCUAAGGUCCCAAAGUUCUGGUUAAGUGGGAAACGAUGUGGGAAGGCUCAGACAGCUAGGAUGUUGGCUUAGAAGCAGCCAUCAUUUAAAGAAAGCGUAAUAGCUCACUAGUCGAGUCGGCCUGCGCGGAAGAUGUAACGGGGCUCAAACCAGGCACCGAAGCCGCGGAUUCACACUUAUGUGUGAGUGGUAGGGGAGCGUUCUGUAAGUCUGCGAAGGUGUAUCGAGAGGUAUGCUGGAGAUAUCAGAAGUGCGAAUGCUGACGUAAGUAACGAUAAAGGGGGUGAAAAGCCUCCUCGCCGGAAGACCAAGGGUUCCUGUCCAACGUUAAUCGGGGCAGGGUGAGUCGACCCCUAAGGUGAGGCCGAAAGGCGUAAUCGAUGGGAAGCAGGUUAAUAUUCCUGCACGACUUGUAAUUGCGAUGGGGGGACGGAGAAGGCUAGGUGGGCCAGGCGACGGUUGUCCUGGUGAAAGUGCGUAGGUGGUGUUUCUAGGCAAAUCCGGAGACACAACACUGAGACACGAGACGAAGCCACUACGGUGGUGAAGCCAUUGAUGCCCUGCUUCCAGGAAAAGCCUCUAAGCUUCAGAUUACAAGUCAUCGUACCCCAAACCGACACAGGUGGUCGGGUAGAGAAUACCAAGGCGCUUGAGAGAACUUGGGUGAAGGAACUAGGCAAAAUAGAACCGUAACUUCGGGAGAAGGUUCGCUCUUGACAGUGAAGUCCCUUGCGGAUGGAGCAGUUGGGAGUCGCAGUGACCAGAUGGCUGGGACUGUUUAUCAAAAACACAGCACUCUGCAAACACGAAAGUGGACGUAUAGGGUGUGACACCUGCCCGGUGCCGGAAGGUUAAUUGAUGGGGUUAGCGCAAGCGAAGCUCUUGAUCGAAGCCCCGGUAAACGGCGGCCGUAACUAUAACGGUCCUAAGGUAGCGAAAUUCCUUGUCGGGUAAGUUCCGACCUGCACGAAUGGUGUAACCAUGGCCAUGCUGUCUCCACCCGAGACUCAGUGAAAUCGAAUUCGCCGUGAAGAUGCGGUGUACCCGCGGCUAGACGGAAAGACCCCGUGAACCUUUACUACAGCUUGGCACUGAACAUUGAACCUACAUGUGUAGGAUAGGUGGGAGGCUUUGAAGGCGUGACGCCAGUUGCGCUGGAGCCGUCCUUGAAAUACCACCCUUGUAUGUUUGAUGUUCUAACGCAGGGCCCUGAAUCGGGCUCGCGGACAGUGCCUGGUGGGUAGUUUGACUGGGGCGGUCUCCUCCCAAAGAGUAACGGAGGAGCACGAAGGUUGGCUAAUCCUGGUCGGACAUCAGGAGGUUAGUGCAAUGGCAUAAGCCAGCUUAACUGCGAGACGGACAGGUCGAGCAGGUACGAAAGUAGGUCAUAGUGAUCCGGUGGUUCUGAAUGGAAGGGCCAUCGCUCAACGGAUAAAAGGUACUCCGGGGAUAACAGGCUGAUACCGCCCAAGAGUUCAUAUCGACGGCGGUGUUUGGCACCUCGAUGUCGGCUCAUCACAUCCUGGGGCUGAAGUCGGUCCCAAGGGUAUGGCUGUUCGCCAUUUAAAGUGGUACGCGAGCUGGGUUCAGAACGUCGUGAGACAGUUCGGUCCCUAUCUGCCGUGGGCGUUGGAUGAUUGAAGGGAGUUGCUCCUAGUACGAGAGGACCGGAGUGAACGAACCUCUGGUGUUCGGG
This 1781-nucleotide ribosomal RNA is filed under the name Aeromonas salmonicida subsp. salmonicida. RNAcentral's name for it is "partial 23S ribosomal RNA". It matches the Rfam family "Bacterial large subunit ribosomal RNA", at positions 953 to 2720 of the family's 2925-position model. Lineage: Bacteria; Pseudomonadati; Pseudomonadota; Gammaproteobacteria; Aeromonadales; Aeromonadaceae. The record is from RNAcentral.